This 360-nucleotide ribosomal RNA is filed under the name uncultured Thermus sp. Its description in RNAcentral is "bacterial SSU rRNA". It matches the Rfam family "Bacterial small subunit ribosomal RNA", at positions 1022 to 1382 of the family's 1533-position model. The record is from RNAcentral. Lineage: Bacteria; Thermotogati; Deinococcota; Deinococci; Thermales; Thermaceae.
GGGAGCCCUAGCACAGGUGCUGCAUGGCCGUCGUCAGCUCGUGCCGUGAGGUGUUGGGCUAAGUCCCGCAACGAGCGCAACCCCCGCCGUUAGUUGCCAGCGGUUCGGCCGGGCACUCUAACGGGACUGCCCGCGAAAGCGGGAGGAAGGAGGGGACGACGUCUGGUCAGCAUGGCCCUUACGGCCUGGGCGACACACGUGCUACAAUGCCCACUACAAAGCGAUGCCACCCGGCAACGGGGAGCUAAUCGCAAAAAGGUGGGCCCAGUUCGGAUUGGGGUCUGCAACCCGACCCCAUGAAGCCGGAAUCGCUAGUAAUCGCGGAUCAGCCAUGCCGCGGUGAAUACGUUCCCGGGCCUU